RNAcentral lists this ribosomal RNA (234 nucleotides) under Triticum aestivum (bread wheat). RNAcentral describes it as "partial small subunit ribosomal RNA". Lineage: Eukaryota; Viridiplantae; Streptophyta; Magnoliopsida; Poales; Poaceae. The record is from RNAcentral.
CUUCAGUUCAUCCUAGACAGGAUCCGUGCACGCCUCGUGGGAUGGAAAGGCCGUCUGUUAUCCAUCGCCGGCCGGAGGGUUUUGGUCAGGAGUGUUCUGACGGUGUUGCCAGCAUACGCGCUGUCCGUCCUCAGGGCACCUGUCAAGUUUCUCAAGGACAUUGACAAGGUACGUGGACGCUUCCUUUGGGUGGGAGAUGAGGAGCUGACCGGCGGAAAAUGCAAAGUUAGUUGG